Molecule: non-coding RNA, 1115 nt
Organism: Centropristis striata (black sea bass)
Lineage: Eukaryota; Metazoa; Chordata; Actinopteri; Perciformes; Serranidae
Source: the annotation of a RefSeq genome assembly
AAAACCUGAAAUUAUUUUGUAUAAUUCAUUUGUUUUGGAUAUUUUUUUGUUAUCUAUUAGGCUUAACUAAUGUAGCAGUUUGGUAUAAGUAUUGUACAGGAAUAAUGUUUUUUGAUAUUAUACAUGAUUUUAUUGUUAAUUAUAUCUCAACCAAUUUUAAUUUCCUCAUAUUUAAUUUUCAUGAUAUAUUGUUCAAUCAAAAUAUGGUUUUACAAUUUAUAGGAGAACAUUUUUAAUGCUAAAAUAUAACAUUAAAUUAUUAUUUUUUUACUUUUACAUUCAAACAGUUGUUAAAUUAAAUCUAAAAUGCCUUUAAAACAAACGAAUGAGUUUAUAUGUAGAUCCAGUAUCGCUGCAGUUUGCCUUCACAGUUCGUUAGUUUAAAGUGGUGAAAAGGAAGUGAAACUCACAGAUGACAAAGUCUUUCACUGGAUACAGAUGUUACAUUUUUUCAAUAGAAAAGUUAUUUACUGCCACAGAUAUUAAAAAUUAAUCCAUGUUUUAAUUCUUUAAUUCUUCUCUGCUCUCCCCUCCAGCUGGCCCCAUGCUCAGGCCCUCAGUCUCUCUGCUUCCCCCCUCCUCUGAGCGGCUCUCUGGGGCCUCGGCCACGCUGGUCUGCCUGCUGAGCGGCUACUCUCCUCAGGGAGCCGUGGUGAGCUGGGAGGUGGACGCUACAGAGGUGACAGAGGGGGUCCUGAGCAGCUCCGAGGAGGAGAAGAGCGGACGCUACAGCAGCAGCAGCACCCUGAGCCUGAGCCAGGAGCGCUGGAUGGAAGGAGAGCUGUUCUCCUGCAGGGUCCUCCAUCAUGGCCACAGCCAGACCCGCUCCCUCCGCAGGAGCCAGUGUGAGGGCUAGAGGGGCUGGCUGAAGCCCAGGACAGCAGCUCUGUGUGUGGGGAGCAGGAGGAACACACCUGCUGCUCUCAUCAAUAGGAGUUUGAAUGUUUGUAGAGGAAACUAAAGCUUUGUGUGGCAGAGAACAACAGCUGUAAAGUGUUGGACAACAACAACUUAGAGAGUAAUGUGAGGAGCUCAGCAGCUAGAUGUGACUGUGCUUCAUGACUGUCAUGUUGAUGACUCGUGUUUUUGCUAAUAAAGCUUUCACUGAAUAAUAA